RNAcentral lists this ribosomal RNA (253 nucleotides) under uncultured bacterium. RNAcentral describes it as "partial 16S ribosomal RNA". It matches the Rfam family "Bacterial small subunit ribosomal RNA", at positions 524 to 776 of the family's 1533-position model. The record is from RNAcentral.
UACGUAGGUGACAAGCGUUGUCCGGAUUUACUGGGCGUAAAGAGCGCGCAGGCGGUCGUUCAAGUCGAGUGUGGAAGCCCCCGGCUCAACUGGGGAGGGUCAUUCGAUACUGAUCGACUCGAAGGCAGGAGAGGGUAGUGGAAUUCCCGGUGUAGUGGUGAAAUGCGUAGAUAUCGGGAGGAACACCAGUGGCGAAGGCGACUACCUGGCCUGUUCUUGACGCUGAGGCGCGAAAGCUAGGGGAGCAAACGGG